UGUAUGAAAAAGUUACAUCUGUCAACACAGAAAAUUGCAUCUAAACAAACCUGUCAUUGGCAAAUCUGAAGAAAUUGCCACUGCGUCUUUAGACCGUUUUCGUCAGACGAGAGACACAGUUCUGACUCUGAUUACUGGUUGCUGUACGUAUCUAUGCACAUCAAGGCUGUUGGGAGAGACUCGUGAAGAUUCAAGACAGCUCUUAGAGGAUUUGCAGUUUAAAAG
Long non-coding RNA from Schistocerca nitens (vagrant locust), 225 nucleotides. RefSeq lists it as uncharacterized. The transcript has 3 exons. NCBI's taxonomy places the organism in Eukaryota, Metazoa, Arthropoda, Insecta, Orthoptera, Acrididae. The record is from RefSeq and is a predicted model, not a curated record.